Molecule: ribosomal RNA, 253 nt
Filed under: uncultured bacterium
Lineage: Bacteria
Description: partial 16S ribosomal RNA
Rfam family: Bacterial small subunit ribosomal RNA
Source: RNAcentral
UACGAAGGGUGCAAGCGUUACUCGGAAUUACUGGGCGUAAAGCGUGCGUAGGUGGUUUGUUAAGUCUGAUGUGAAAGCCCUGGGCUCAACCUGGGAACGGCAUUGGAAACUGGCUUACUAGAGUGCGGUAGAGGGGUGUGGAAUUCCCGGUGUAGCAGUGAAAUGCGUAGAUAUCGGGAGGAACAUCUGUGGCGAAGGCGGCAUCCUGGACCGGUAUUGACGCUGAGGAGCGAAAGCCAGGGGAGCAAACGGG